RNAcentral lists this ribosomal RNA (1647 nucleotides) under Triticum aestivum (bread wheat). RNAcentral describes it as "partial small subunit ribosomal RNA". The record is from RNAcentral. Lineage: Eukaryota; Viridiplantae; Streptophyta; Magnoliopsida; Poales; Poaceae.
AUGGCACCGGCGCUCGCCGCACCGGGAAUCUCCCCGGCGGCCGACUGCAGAUCCAACCAAGCCGCCGGCGACCCGUCCUCCGUAGCCAAGCCGAUCGACGGAGGGUUGUCGGGGUCGGAUCUAUCGUGGCGUCCAGCCAUCCAGGAUAUCGCGCGAGUCCCAGACGAAACUCCAUUCUCCAAUGCGCACAUAGGGCUAGUAACGCCUCCGGCCGCACUGAAGGGCGCGAAUGCAAUCGCCUACAGCUCAGAUUUUAAUCCAUAUGUACGUGAUGAUGAUUCUGGGAAUGUUAUAGUUGUGCCUGGAUGGAAGAAACGGAAUGUCGGGGCUAAUGGCCCUGACACGAGGACACCUCCGUCCACAAAGACGGCCAUUGAGCGACGUCUGCUCGAAAUGAAUGAUCGUAGAGGUAGUGAAAUAUUCGAGCCAGUGGUCGGAACCGACUUCGACUCAUGUCAAGAAGCAUAUGGUUUCUACAAUUUGUAUUCGUGGGAGCAUGGAUUCGGCAUUCGGCGUGGCAGAAGCAGAGUUAACACAAACAAGUACAAGUUGAUGCAUGAACUUGUUUGUCAAUGUGCGGGCAAAAAUGACAAAGAAAACUCGUCAUCAUGCAAGAUCGAUUGUAAGGCCAUGGUGAGAUUGCUGCGUACCAAGAAUCAUGGAUGGUACGUCAGUAUGUUUGUCAAGGAGCACAACCAUCGUUUGUCGGUUGGAUACGAUGCAAAACUCCAGUGGAAUUCACACGAUUUCAUAGACCCUGUUUCAUUUGACUUCAUCAAGAAUCUUCGAAGCAAUAAUGUCAGUGUUGGCAAGGUUUAUAGCAUUUUGUGUGGAGCAGAAUGGAAUUCGCAAGCAGUGCCCUAUAGGAAGCAAGUAUUACGAACACUAUGUGCCAAAUUCUCUCAGGACACAAUAAAAGAUGAUCUGAAAAAAACCAUGAAACUUCUGCAAGAUAUGAAGAUGGAGGACAUGAAUUUGAAGGUUGAGAUAGGCGUAGAUGUAGAAUGUCGUGUCCGUACAAUGCUAUGGGUGACAGGAAAAAAUCGUCAGGACUAUUUUCACUUUGGUGACGUCAUUACCUUCGACACAACAUACAAGACCAAUUUGUAUAACAUGCCGUUUGCCUUGUUUGUCGGGGUAAACAACCACUUCCAGUCUGUUAUAUUCGGUGGUGCACUAAUGCGAGAGGAAACUGAAGCUGCUUUUAAUUGGCUGUUUAAAACUUCAGCUAUGAAAGGUGCGAUUGAGAUUGCUCUCCCGAACACUAAACACAGAUGGUGUAAAUGGCAUGUCCUCCGGGACGUUAAAGGAAAUAUUGGCCAUGUGUACAACAAGUCUUCUGGGUUCAAGAAGGAAUUCAACAAGCUAGUCAACGAUGUGAUGUGUGUCGAUGAGUUCGAAUCCAAAUGGUUGUCCCUUGUGGACAGAUUCAGUGUCAGUGAUAAUGAGUAUAUGGUCAGACUAUAUGAUAAGAGGGCCAUGUGGGCAAAGCCGUAUUUCAAGGGAAUUUUUUGUGCUGGAAUGACAAGCACACAGCGUAGCGAGAGUGCUAAUCAUAUGCUGAAAGAGGAACAUACCGAGGUCAUCCCCCAUGCACGUGUUUGUUCGCCAAUACAACAAAUUCCUCAGGUCAAGGAUGAGCGAUGA